Long non-coding RNA from Oncorhynchus masou masou (cherry salmon), 1048 nucleotides. RefSeq lists it as uncharacterized. NCBI's taxonomy places the organism in Eukaryota, Metazoa, Chordata, Actinopteri, Salmoniformes, Salmonidae. The record is from RefSeq and is a predicted model, not a curated record. The transcript is spliced from 3 exons.
ACAGAGAAAGAGACAAUAGAGAUUUACCGUGUAUGAGCUGGACUGUUUUGGACUUACCUGUUGGCGUUUGGACCUGGACCUACCGAGAACCCGAUUCGUGUACCGAACCCUGCUAUCCUUGACCUCGCCUACGGCCUGUGUGGACCAGGACGAAGAAACAAACACACAGCCUUCCUAAGCCAGGAUUCAGACACGGCCAGGACAUCAGGGUUUGAGCGGAGUGUGCUAAAGCAGACCUGAGCCCUAGGACCAUGCCCCAGGACUACCUGACAUGAUGACUCCUUGAUGUCCCCAGUCCACCUGGCCGUGCUGCUGCUCCAGUUUCAACUGUUCUGCCUUAUUAUUAUUCGACCAUGCUGGUUAUUUAUGAACAUUUGAACAGCUUGGCCAUGUUCUGUUAUAAUCUCUACCCGGCACAGCCAGAAAAGGACUGGCCACCCCACAUAGCCUGGUUCCUCUCUAGGUUUCUUCCUAGGUUUUGGCCUUUCUAGGGAAUUUUUCCUAACCACCGUGCUUCUACACCUGCAUUGCUUGCUGUUUGAGGUUUUAGGCUGGGUUUCUGUACAGCACUUUGAGAUAUCAGCUGAUGUACGAAGGGUUAUAUAAAUAAAAAAAAUUGAUGUAUUAAUUUUUAUAGUAUGCUUAUGUGGGAUAAGUUACUUGGCCCCAGAGAGGGGAGAGGUCAGGUUAGUCUUAUCUGUGAAUGUGUCUGGAACUAUUCCUAAACCAUGUGAAGGGAUGGUGUGAUUAACGGGGAACCAAUUAGGUGGCUCCACAAUGUCUGUGUGCCAGUCACUCUUCUCUCUGUAAGCUUGUCCAGGAGGGUUUUUCUAUUUUAUGGGAGUAUCUUGAAAUUGACAAUUGAUAUAUGCCAGGUAAUGUUUUGGUCCUAAAUGGUACCACGAACGAGAUAAGAACUUUGUCUAAGAUGGCAAACUGAAGGAUAAUUAAUAGCUAAUGCUUUCUGGCUAUAGGAUACUCCUUUUUUCUGGUAAAAGGUUAUUUGUAUAAUGUUCCUAAGGUCUGUUAUUUGUCAUGUGAGUUUAGA